This is a non-coding RNA of Coturnix japonica (Japanese quail), 896 nucleotides long. The record is from RefSeq and is a predicted model, not a curated record. Lineage: Eukaryota; Metazoa; Chordata; Aves; Galliformes; Phasianidae.
GGAGGUGGACAAGUUUGCUAAAGGAUGUGCCUUACUGCUGCGUUAGGGGCAGGGACCAGUGGGAUCUCCCUCAAGGGCAUGGCUGUUGAUGGCACUAAGGGGAAGGAGGCAGAAAUUUGGCAUUGUUUAUUUCUACAUGGGUUUAUUUUUCAGUUCAGAAACUUUUGUAGUUUCCCCCUGAUACCCACUCAAUCUGUGUUACUUCUUGCUAUUAAGCAAUGUCAGUCAUGGGGUCUAAGACCAUCUUAUUUCUUGCCAACGUAGUGCUAUUGCUGUCUGAAUUCUCUAAAGGAAUUAACACUUCAGGCAUCAAAUCAUGAAAUCAUUGUAAUAGGCAAACAUUAUCUGCACUCAGGUCACAUCUCCAAAGGUCUAACAUUGAUUUUAAAUUCUGCAGCCCUGCUCAGGCCCUGGCAGGCUUAGAGCUGCCAAAUCUUCUGUCAGCUUCCUUCAGAGACACACAUGGCUGCUGUGGGGGGGCUGGACAGAAGAAGGAGAACAGGGAGAAACUACUUACUGCAUAAUGAAGGUAGCCACUCUGCGUCCAGAGGCUAGCCAUUCACAACACUUUGUCUGCACCACAGAUAAUUUGAGUUCUCUUAUUUGAAAGCCAAAUUGUCAUCUUCAUUUCUGUAGAUGCAGAAAACAUCCUAAAGAAGCAUUUGAGUCUUUUGUGUAGCCCAGAAACAAAUACUGGAUCCGUGAAACUCUGUGGUACAAAAGGAACAGUUCUGCUUAGGCAGAACAAGUAGCAGCAACUCCAACUGACUCAAAAGCAGAAGUUUCCCCAGUGCUUCCCAGUUCAUUUUAGUGCUGACCUGUAAGUAUCCUUUGCUGUAGAGAGAAUGCCUUUGAAAAGCCGUGUAGACUAUUCCUUGAGUGUCUUUGCAACAGAG